Molecule: ribosomal RNA, 167 nt
Filed under: uncultured bacterium
Lineage: Bacteria
Description: partial 16S ribosomal RNA
Rfam family: Bacterial small subunit ribosomal RNA
Source: RNAcentral
UAGGGAAUCUUCCACAAUGGGCGCAAGUCUGAUGGAGCAACGCCGCGUGAGUGAAGAAGGGUUUCGGCUCGUAAAGCUCUGUUGUUAAAGAAGAACGUGGGUAAGAGUAACUGUUUACCCAGUGACGGUAUUUAACCAGAAAGCCACGGCUAACUACGUGCCAGCAG